Molecule: ribosomal RNA, 218 nt
Filed under: uncultured bacterium
Lineage: Bacteria
Description: partial 16S ribosomal RNA
Rfam family: Bacterial small subunit ribosomal RNA
Source: RNAcentral
UAACCUACCCAUCAGAGGGGGAUAACACUUGGAACAGGUGCUAAUACCGCAUACCAGUUUAUGCCGCAUGGCAUAAGAGUGAAAGGCGCUUUCGGGUGUCGCUGAUGGAUGGACCCGCGGUGCAUUAGCUAGUUGGUGAGGUAACGGCUCACCAAGGCCACGAUGCAUAGCCGACCUGAGAGGGUGAUCGGCCACACUGGGACUGAGACACGGCCCAG